GACCCCAGGUCAGKCGGGAUUACCCGCUGAGUUUAAGCAUAUCAAUAA
Molecule: ribosomal RNA, 48 nt
Filed under: Scrophularia subaphylla
Lineage: Eukaryota; Viridiplantae; Streptophyta; Magnoliopsida; Lamiales; Scrophulariaceae
Description: partial 28S ribosomal RNA
Source: RNAcentral